AUUGAACGCUGGCGGAAUGCUUUACACAUGCAAGUCGAACGGCAGCACGGACUUCGGUCUGGUGGCGAGUGGCGAACGGGUGAGUAAUGUAUCGGAACGUGCCCAGUCGUGGGGGAUAACGUAGUGAAAAUUACGCUAAUACCGCAUACGAGCUAUGGAUGAAAGCGGGGGAUCGCAAGACCUCGCGCGAUUGGAGCGGCCGAUAGCAGAUUAGGUAGUUGGUGGGGUAAAGGCCCCCCAAGCCAACGAUCUGUAGCUGGUCUGAGAGGACGACCAGCCACACUGGAACUGAGACACGGUCCAGACUCCUACGGGAGGCAGCAGUGGGGAAUUUUGGACAAUGGGCGAAAGCCUGAUCCAGCCAUUCCGCGUGCAGGAUGAAGGCCCUCGGGUUGUAAACUGCUUUUGUACAGAACGAAAAGGUUUCUACUAAUACUAGGAGCUCAUGACGGUACUGUAAGAAUAAGCACCGGCUAACUACGUGCCAGCCGCCGCGGUAA
Molecule: ribosomal RNA, 500 nt
Filed under: uncultured bacterium
Lineage: Bacteria
Description: partial 16S ribosomal RNA
Rfam family: Bacterial small subunit ribosomal RNA
Source: RNAcentral